RNAcentral lists this ribosomal RNA (513 nucleotides) under uncultured bacterium. RNAcentral's name for it is "bacterial SSU rRNA". It matches the Rfam family "Bacterial small subunit ribosomal RNA", at positions 15 to 518 of the family's 1533-position model. The record is from RNAcentral.
GAUCUGGCUCAGGAUGAACGCUAGCGGCAGGCCUAAUACAUGCAAGCUGAACGGUAAAUAUGUAGCAAUACGAUAUGAGAGUAGCGUAAGGGUGCGUAACACGUAUGCAAUCUGCCCUGGUACAGGGGGAUAGCUCGGGGAAACUCGAAUUAAUACCCCAUAGUAUAUUUGAGAGGCAUCUCUUGGAUAUUAAAGUCGCAAGGCGGUACAGGAUGAGCAUGCGUCUGAUUAGCUAGUUGGUGGUGUAACGGACCACCAAGGCGAUGAUCAGUAGGGGAACUGAGAGGUUGAUCCCCCACACUGGCACUGAGACACGGGCCAGACUCCUACGGGAGGCAGCAGUAGGGAAUAUUGGUCAAUGGGGGAAACCCUGACGCAGCGACGCCGCGUGAGCGAAGAAGGCCUUCGGGUUGUAAAGCUCUGUUGUAAGGGACGAAUGUCUAGGGUAGUAACUGACCUUAGAAUGACGGUACCUUACCAGCAAGCCCCGGCUAACUACGUGCCAGCCGCUGC